Papaver somniferum (opium poppy) is the source of this 976-nucleotide long non-coding RNA. RefSeq lists it as uncharacterized. NCBI's taxonomy places the organism in Eukaryota, Viridiplantae, Streptophyta, Magnoliopsida, Ranunculales, Papaveraceae. The transcript has 5 exons. The record is from RefSeq and is a predicted model, not a curated record.
CCCAUCCCACCUCGUCCUUAUCACCCGAUCCGAUAAUCUCUUUCAUUUAGCUUUCACUUUUCCAAGUUUUCUUUUAUCUGAGAAGAGCAUAGAAAAACCCUAAUCAUCUACUAAAUCCCCGUAAACCAAAUCGAUAACCCUCCAUCCCCGCAUCUCUUUCCCAAUCUCUGCUCAAACAACAAAAAUAACGCUGAAGAACUAGAAGAAAAGGAAAGAAGAAGUAGAUUAUGUUGAUGAAGACGGAGAAAUGGGUUUUCAGCAACAAAAGAUGAUGACUACAAGUAUGGAGAUGGAGAUGGAGAUCUUGUGAAAUAAUGAGAUGGAAUCUUCCAAGGCUUUAAGAGUUCUUCAAAGACCCAUCUUUUGCUGCCAUAUGCCCCUCAGAUCUUCUUGUUCUUGAUGGCUUGUACUUGGUUAAGGAAAUGAAUCGAUGAUGUUUUUGUAAAGACUGUGAUUGGGGUACUUGGAGAGCUCCAAAUUGGAUGAAAUGCCCAGUGGCGGUGUCCUUUGGUUCUGGAGGAGAACUUGUUUCAUAUAAACAUAGUCAGUCAGUUACCAAUCCGCAAACUGGAAGUUCCGAGGGAUCAUUCGACCUUUCCUUAACGUAUUGAUUUUUGAGGAACUGAAGGGAGCUGUUGCAAAUGCUUUUUUUGAUUUUACCACGCCACCCAUCAAUGACGAAUAUAACUGCCUCAUUAAUGCUAUAAUGGAUCCAAGUGGAUGUUAUACGAUGUAUACGCAAUACUUUGGAGAUGUGUCACUAGGUAAUAUGAUUAGGAGGAAUAAAACUCCUGUAGUCCUAUAGGGGAGACUAAAUAAAAUGCAGAUGAAGUGGCAGUCUUAGUAGAUUGAAUGCUAGUUCAUAUUUUCAGUGUGAUUUUGAGUUGGAAAUGCAGGAUGAAUUUAUCCUUUUUUGGUUGUAAUGUAAAACUGAAUUCAUCUUUCAAAUGCAAUGUACACUCGAUUUCAGAUUCUA